RNAcentral lists this ribosomal RNA (484 nucleotides) under uncultured bacterium. RNAcentral describes it as "partial 16S ribosomal RNA". It matches the Rfam family "Bacterial small subunit ribosomal RNA", at positions 28 to 507 of the family's 1533-position model. The record is from RNAcentral.
AUUGAACGCUGGCGGCAUGCUUUACACAUGCAAGUCGAACGGCAGCGCGGGCUUCGGCCUGGCCGCGCGUGGCGGACGGGUGAGUAAUGCAUCGGAACGUGACCAGUCGUGGGGGCUAGCCCGGCUAAAGCCGGAUUAAUCCCGCAUACGACCUGAGGGUGAAAGCGGGGGACCGAAAGGCCUCGCGCGAUUGGAGCGGCCGAUGUCGGAUUAGCUAGUUGGUGGGGUAAAGGCUUACCAAGGCGACGAUCCGUAGCUGGUCUGAGAGGACGACCAGCCACACUGGGACUGAGACACGGCCCAGACUCCUACGGGAGGCAGCAGUGGGGAAUUUUGGACAAUGGGGGCAACCCUGAUCCAGCCAUGCCGCGUGCGGGAAGAAGGCCUUCGGGUUGUAAACCGCUUUUGUUCGGGAAGAAAUCCUCUGGGCUAAUACCCCGGGGGGAUGACGGUACCGGAAGAAUAAGCACCGGCUAACUACGUG